RNAcentral lists this ribosomal RNA (468 nucleotides) under uncultured bacterium. RNAcentral's name for it is "partial 16S ribosomal RNA". It matches the Rfam family "Bacterial small subunit ribosomal RNA", at positions 28 to 507 of the family's 1533-position model. The record is from RNAcentral.
GACGAACGCUGGCGGCGUGCUUAAUACAUGCAAGUCGAACGGAAAGGCCCUGCGCUUGCGGGGUGCUCGAGUGGCGAACGGGUGAGUAACACGUGAGUAACCUGUCCCUGACUUUGGGAUAACUUCAGGAAACUGGGGCUAAUAUCGGAUAGGAGCUCUUGCUGCACGGUGGGGGUUGGAAAGUUUCGGCGGUUGGGGAUGGACUCGCGGGUUAUCAGCUUGUUGGUCGGGUAGUGGCUUACCAAGGCUUUGACGGGUAGCCGGCCUGAGAGGGUGACCGGCGACAAUAGGACUACGAUACGGCCCAGACUCGUACGGGAGGCAGCAGUGGGGAGUAUUGCGCAGUGGGGGGAAGCCUGAUACAGCAACGCCGCGUGCGGGAUGACGGCCUUCGGGUUGUGAACCGCUUUCGCAUGUAACGAGGCGUGAGUGACGGUACUGGGUAAAGAAGCACCGGCUAACUACGUG